CGUAGGGACCAAGCGUUGUUCGGAUUUACUGGGCGUAAAGGGCGCGUAGGCGGCGUGACAAGUCACUUGUGAAAUCUCCGGGCUUAACCCGGAACUGCCAAGUGAUACUGUCGUGCUAGAGUGCGGAAGGGGCAAUCGGAAUUCUCGGUGUAGCGGUGAAAUGCGUAGAUAUCGAGAGGAACACCUGAGGUGAAGACGGGUUGCUGGGCCGACACUGACGCUGAGUGCGCGAAAGCCAGGGGAGCAAACGGG
RNAcentral lists this ribosomal RNA (252 nucleotides) under uncultured bacterium. RNAcentral describes it as "partial 16S ribosomal RNA". It matches the Rfam family "Bacterial small subunit ribosomal RNA", at positions 526 to 776 of the family's 1533-position model. The record is from RNAcentral.